UUUGACACGAGACGUGUUGAAAUAAGGAACCGUCUGUUGCAGAGCUCCUCGCCUUGUUUUGGACUGAAGUCUGCACCUCGCAAAAAAACAUGUCCGGCAGUACGUAUUCUUUUUCUGCAGAUAUGACAAAAGUUCUGGUAUUAGUUUGACAGAAACAUGUCCGGCAACAGGAGGCAGGCCAUGCUGGUUAUAUCCACAGAAGAUGAAUGGUCCUCCUUGGUGUCUCUGCUGGAGGGAAGUGUCCCAGAUGAAGAACAGCAAUUAAGUGCUGGCGGAAAUGUCAUAACUUGGUGCCGGAGGACCGCUUGAAUCAACCUACAUCAUGCGAAUAUUAAAAGAAGACAUGACAGGGGAGAACAUCAGCAAUGUGAUGGAUGGGUGCUUCACAUCUUGGAAAAAUGGAGUAAACACAGUCCUGCUGUUGAUCCAAGGUGGACGGUACACACCUAGACGAAUGAAACUGGUGGAGAUACUGCAGAUCCACUUUAGAGUUGAGGCCCUCAAGUACCUGGUGAUAGUCUCCCUGGAAGACAGCAAAGCGGUGCACCUGUUGGACGACGUCCUCUUGGACCUGAUCAACACAUGCGAUGGACGCUUCUGCAGAACUGACCUUGCCCUUCGCCAGGGAAGAAGCCGGCGUGCUGGUCAGCAUGGUGGACAACAUGCUGGCCAUGAGCGGCACUGCGGGCUACGGCCGAAGCGUGCUAGCCGAGGCCAAGCGGCGGGGCGAUGAGGACGCGGCCAUGCACAUGCUGAGGCGGAAGGUGCGGGAUGCGAAGGAGAAGGUGCAGGCCUUCGGGCGUGUGGUCAGCCAGAGAGAGGGCAGGCGAGCUGAGGAGGCGAAGGAUCUGAGGGAGAGGCAUGACAAGGUUAGAUGCAAGGAGGCCGCCGAGAGGAGUUAAUACGAAACCAAGAAGGACAGCCUGGAGGAGGCUGUGGUCAUCCAUCGAGCCACACUGCACCUCCAGAUGAAGCCAGAGGACACUCGCCACCCGCUUGUAAACACUAACAGGACGCAUCAAAUGGAGAACUUCUUCUGAUUCGAACAUUGAUCGCAUGCUGCAGGUGUGUCACCUUAUCGCCACUCUGUUAGAAGAAUACCUGAGUCCAAUAACGCCGUUCCAAAACUCACAAUAUAUUAUAAAAAGUACCGUUUUUGUUUAACUUGAAUAACAAGUUAGUGCUCUUUGACCAUUUGGUCAUUUAUGAAAACAUAUGUAUAUGUAUGAGAUGGGAGGUUGUGUGUGGGGUUAGUGAGUCCCAACUAACGUCUAUAAAAUGCACACAAAGAACCGUUUGCACCUUCUCUUUUGACUGGCGGGCGGUCAGCGCCAUAAAGCUGAGCGAGUCCCUGGGUAAAUGGGGCGCGGACAACAAACAGGACAGACUAAGUUCAACAGCCCAGUAAGGCAAUUAGUCUAGGAGAAGGAUCUCUGAUAUGAAAUACCCCUUCCAACCCACACCAAGCCAGUGUAGAAGGUGUAGGCUAAUAACCAGCAUGAAAAGUACGCCAAAUGGCAGAAACAUGCUGAGGCUUUCGUCCAGCAGUGGACUGACAACGGCUGAUGAUGAUGAUGUACAACACAGCAGCAACAGAACCAUUGUUGUAGCAAUCUGCAAAGUCAGCAUUAAUAGUGCUAAAAAGUAACGUGCAAUAGAUUUCUCACCAACAACUGAGUCUAAAACAUGUUGUUAAUUUGAUCGGAAUGACCUAAAAU
This is a long non-coding RNA of Nerophis ophidion (straightnose pipefish), 1718 nucleotides long. RefSeq lists it as uncharacterized. The transcript has 3 exons. Lineage: Eukaryota; Metazoa; Chordata; Actinopteri; Syngnathiformes; Syngnathidae. The record is from RefSeq and is a predicted model, not a curated record.